Molecule: ribosomal RNA, 254 nt
Filed under: uncultured bacterium
Lineage: Bacteria
Description: partial 16S ribosomal RNA
Rfam family: Bacterial small subunit ribosomal RNA
Source: RNAcentral
UACGAAGGGGGGCUAGCGUUGCUCGGAAUCACUGGGCGUAAAGGGUGCGUAGGCGGAUUUCUAAGUCAGGGGUGAAAGCCUGAGGCUCAACCUCAGAACUGCCUUUGAUACUGGAAGUCUUGAGACCGGAAGAGGUAAGUGGAACUGCGAGUGUAGAGGUGAAAUUCGUAGAUAUUCGCAAGAACACCAGUGGCGAAGGCGGCUUACUGGUCCGGUUCUGACGCUGAGGCACGAAAGCGUGGGGAGCAAACAGG